Pomacea canaliculata is the source of this 831-nucleotide long non-coding RNA. RefSeq lists it as uncharacterized. Lineage: Eukaryota; Metazoa; Mollusca; Gastropoda; Architaenioglossa; Ampullariidae. The record is from RefSeq and is a predicted model, not a curated record. The transcript has 4 exons.
AUUUUGCUUUUAUCUCGAAUCUUAAAUAACAAAUUGAGGUCAUUAUGUUUGGGGCAACGAAUGAAACUUGCUUGUAUAAACUAAUUUCUCAUUGAAACAAGCAUCAUCAGAAACAAAACUCUUCUCUACCAAUAUGAUUUUACACUGGAUGCUUAAUAAAUCACGGACCUCAUUAAUUGGCACUUGAAGAAUGAAGUUUAUCCAAAAAUAUCUGCUGUGCAGUGUGAAAUAUCCUGUAGUUUAUUCUUUGAAAUCUAAACGAAAAUACUUGACUGUUGGACUUCUUCCAGUGAGCACGUCCAUGAAACUAUUUUUUCGAACUUCAGGAUCAAAUUCAAACCAAAUUUCAAAUAUCCAGGGCUCAUCUGGCAUAGAGGGCAUCACCACACAUGCCAAAGAAAGCAUAGGACAUAGUUUGUCAACAGUGCAAAAUAAUGAAAAUGAAAAAUGUAGUUUACAAGCUGUGCCACAAGGAGAGAUGAACAUCAACUUUCAAGAAAAAGCUGUCGCUUAUGCACUGACUGUGAAUGAAGCUUUACUCAAUCACAAGCAAAUUGAAAUCCAUAGAGCUCACCUGAACGCCCUCCAGAAAGGAGAAAGCUUUUACAAAGACCCCAUUACAGGGUAUCAGGUUAUGUCUCGCUUGGCUCAUUUGAGGCGUGGUGACUGCUGUGGCAAUGCAUGCAGACAUUGUCCUUAUGGCCAGAGGAAUGCUCCUAGUCAUCGCCUCAAAAAACACAAUUCAGCCUUUUAUGAAUGAAGAGGAUAAAGCUGCUGUGUAGAGUAUAUUUAUUAAAAAAUGUGGUGUGUUGGAGGUCACAAGUCUCAUGA